GGCUAUAGCUCAGCGAGUAGGACAUCUGCCUGGCAUGCAGAAGUUUCCAGGUUCAAUCCCUGGCAUCUCCA
Podarcis lilfordi (Lilford's wall lizard) is the source of this 71-nucleotide non-coding RNA. NCBI's taxonomy places the organism in Eukaryota, Metazoa, Chordata, Lepidosauria, Squamata, Lacertidae. The record is from the annotation of a GenBank genome assembly.